AUUGAACGCUGGCGGCAUGCUUUACACAUGCAAGUCGAACGGCAGCGCGGGCUUCGGCCUGGCGGCGAGUGGCGAACGGGUGAGUAAUGCAUCGGAACGUGCCCAGUAGUGGGGGAUAGCCCGGCGAAAGCCGGAUUAAUACCGCAUACGACCUGAGGGUGAAAGCGGGGGACCGAAAGGCCUCGCGCUAUUGGAGCGGCCGAUGUCGGAUUAGCUAGUUGGUGGGGUAAAGGCUUACCAAGGCGACGAUCCGUAGCUGGUCUGAGAGGACGACCAGCCACACUGGGACUGAGACACGGCCCAGACGCCUACGGGAGGCAGCAGUGGGAAAUUUUGGACAAUGGGGGCAACCCUGAUCCAGCCAUGCCGCGUGCGGGAAGAAGGCCUUCGGGUUGUAAACCGCUUUUGUUCGGGAAGAAAUCCUCUGGGCUAAUACCCCGGGGGGAUGACGGUACCGGAAGAAUAAGCACCGGCUAACUACGU
Molecule: ribosomal RNA, 483 nt
Filed under: uncultured bacterium
Lineage: Bacteria
Description: partial 16S ribosomal RNA
Rfam family: Bacterial small subunit ribosomal RNA
Source: RNAcentral